UACGUAGGGGGCAAGCGUUGUCCGGAAUCAUUGGGCGUAAAGCGCGUGUAGGCGGUUCGGUAAGUCUGCUGUGAAAGUCCAGGGCUCAACCCUGGGAUGCCGGUGGAUACUGUCGGGCUCGAGUCCGGAAGAGGCGAGUGGAAUUCCUGGUGUAGCGGUGAAAUGCGCAGAUAUCAGGAGGAACACCAAUGGCGAAGGCAGCUCGCUGGGACGUGACUGACGCUGAGACGCGAAAGCGUGGGGAGCAAACAGG
Molecule: ribosomal RNA, 253 nt
Filed under: uncultured bacterium
Lineage: Bacteria
Description: partial 16S ribosomal RNA
Rfam family: Bacterial small subunit ribosomal RNA
Source: RNAcentral